Molecule: long non-coding RNA, 1911 nt
Filed under: Sus scrofa (pig)
Lineage: Eukaryota; Metazoa; Chordata; Mammalia; Artiodactyla; Suidae
Description: lncRNA (ENSSSCG00040017082.1)
Source: RNAcentral
CCUCAGGAUGCUCCUGGGAUGGGACGCCAGGUUGCCCCUGCCUGUCCUCUGGAGCUGGUCCUGGAAAUGAAGCCUCUCCACACUCCUGUUGAUGGGUGUGUGUUUGCCACCCAGCUGGCAAACACCCACAUCGCUUUAUCUCUCGCUGCCAUCUCACUGCCCUCAGUUCUCUGCACCUUGCUCAAAAUUCUUUCCACUUUUCUCUUUCCCUUCCUGUGUUUUCAUGCUGGUACCAUCUGGGUCCGGUCUUUAUACUCUUUGCCUUUCUUAAACACCUAUAGCUCUGAUGCAUUAAUGUCUAUACAAAAUUCUGACCUACUUAAUUGAGGAUUUGCUAUGUGUCAGGUGUUGGGUACAAGCUCUCAGAUAACGAUUAAUGGCAGUAUUUUUUUUUUUAGGGUUUUGCAGCUAUUUAUUAGUUAAGAAGGAGUUUGCAGUGGGUUAAGGAUCUGGCGUUGCUUCAACUGUGGUGUAGUUCACAGCUGUGGCUUGGAUUCGAUCCCUGGCCCGGGAACUUCUGUGUGCCAAAAAGAAUGAGUUCGUCUAAAGAAAUGUAUUGACACAAGUCAUAUGGGUACACACAAACCUAUCUUAUUCCUUUAAUAGAGAUUUAUUUCUACCAAAUGGGCUAAUUUUGGUUCUCCUUGAUGAUUGAACACCCGCUGAAGACAGGGACCUCUCACCUUUCUAACACCCUGCUGAUGCAUUGCCCUAACUUCCCCCCAAAUCCUACAGGGUAGAUACUACCUCCUUUCAUAGACGAUUGCCAAAGGCAUGAAGCCGUUAAAGGAUCCAGGUCUCCGUCUGGGGCCCUGCAGCCCAUGACUGUGGCCACCACCAACUUUGGGGUCCAUGGACUCAAUUCAGGUCAGCCAGAGAAGCCAACCAGGGCCCAAGACACGAGUGGGUUUCCCAGGUUUUGUGGCAAAUGUUCAGUGUAGCUCAAGCCCAGGCCGCUGGACUCCUGCUCUGGUGCAUUUGAUGACAAACCAAUGCAUUUCAUGUGCCCGCCUUGGGCGUGCAGGGCACCCAACCACACAGCAUAGGGUCCCCCACAAUAUGUCUGCUGCAGCUGAGGCCCCAGCCCGAUUAUUUUCAUCCUUUCUCUUUAAAGUGUGACAAAUAAUGACCUCUCCUUUCAACCCGAUGAUAAGAUCCCUGAAUCCAUUAUUUUUAAUGACAGCCACGGGGAGGCAAGGCCGCGCCGAUGAGUCGAGAACCCUUGCUCUUCCGGCUUUGCUUUCUUCAGGUUCCCCCCGGACGAAGAAGGCCCUGGAAGCCUGGAGUCUUCCUCAGGCCCGUCUCGAAGUCCUGGGGACUCACCGAGGGUGGUGACACGGACCUGCCUCCUGGACCUCGCUCCUCUCCUUCAGGCGCUGCUUGACCAGAGAAGAUUUAGCGGCGGUCGCUUCUUUAGGGGCUUGCGAUGGUCUGGCGGCACCUGUUCAGAGGCUCGUGGAGGCUGAGCUCAGAGACCAUUGGUGCCCUAUUUUAUUCUUCUCGAAUCUUCAUCAGCAAGGAAGCACCCCAGGCUUCACACAAGCGCAGAUCUUGCCUAACGUGCAUGUUCAGUGGGUGAAGAUGAGCUUUGCUCUAGAAGAAACUCAAGAUCCUGGAGUUCCCGUUGUGGCGCAGUGGUUAACGAAUCCGACUAGGAACCAUGAGGUUGCGGGUUCGAUCCCUGCCCAAUGCUCAGUGGGUUAACGAUCCGGCGUUGCCGUGAGCUGUGGUGUAGGUUGCAGACGCGGCUCGGAUCCUGCGUUGCUGUGGCUCUGGCGUAGGCCGGUGGCUAUAGCUCCGAUUCAACCCCUCACCUGGGAACCUCCAUAUGCCGCGGGAGCGGCCCAAGAAAUAGCAACAACAACAACAAAAAAGACAAAAGACAAAAAAAAAAAAAAAAAAAAAAAAAAA